UACAGAGGUCUCAAGCGUUGUUCGGAUUCAUUGGGCGUAAAGGGUGUGUAGGUGGCGCCGUAAGUCGGGUGUGAAAUCUCGGGGCUUAACUCCGAAACUGCAUUCGAUACUGCCGUGCUUGAGGACUGGAGAGGAGACUGGAAUUUACGGUGUAGCGGUGAAAUGCGUAGAUAUCGUAAGGAAGACCAGUGGCGAAGGCGGGUCUCUGGACAGUUCCUGACGCUGAGGCACGAAGGUCAGGGGAGCAAACAGG
Molecule: ribosomal RNA, 253 nt
Filed under: uncultured bacterium
Lineage: Bacteria
Description: partial 16S ribosomal RNA
Rfam family: Bacterial small subunit ribosomal RNA
Source: RNAcentral